RNAcentral lists this ribosomal RNA (754 nucleotides) under uncultured bacterium. RNAcentral describes it as "bacterial SSU rRNA". It matches the Rfam family "Bacterial small subunit ribosomal RNA", at positions 74 to 821 of the family's 1533-position model. The record is from RNAcentral.
AGUAGCUUGCUACUCUGGCGUCGAGCGGCGGACGGGUGAGUAAUGCUUGGGGAACUGCCCAGUCGAGGGGGACAACUAUUGGAAACGAUAGCUAAUACCGCAUACGCCCUACGGGGGAAAGAAGGGGACCUUCGGGCCUUUCGCGAUUGGAUGUACCCAAGUGGGAUUAGCUAGUUGGUGAGGUAAAGGCUCACCAAGGCGACGAUCCCUAGCUGGUUUGAGAGGAUGAUCAGCCACACUGGAACUGAGACACGGUCCAGACUCCUACGGGAGGCAGCAGUGGGGAAUAUUGCACAAUGGGCGCAAGCCUGAUGCAGCCAUGCCGCGUGUAUGAAGAAGGCCUUCGGGUUGUAAAGUACUUUCAGCGAGGAGGAAAGGGUGUUGCUUAAUACGUAACAUCUGUGACGUUACUCGCAGAAGAAGGACCGGCUAACUCCGUGCCAGCAGCCGCGGUAAUACGGAGGGUCCGAGCGUUAAUCGGAAUUACUGGGCGUAAAGCGUACGCAGGCGGUUUGUUAAGCGAGAUGUGAAAGCCCCGGGCUUAACCUGGGAACUGCAUUUCGAACUGAUAAACUAGAGUUUUGUAGAGGGUGGUAGAAUUUCAGGUGUAGCGGUGAAAUGCGUAGAGAUCUGAAGGAAUACCAGUGGCGAAGGCGGCCACCUGGACAAAAACUGACGCUCAUGUACGAAAGCGUGGGGAGCAAACGGGAUUAGAUACCCCGGUAGUCCACGCCGUAAACGAUGUCAACUAGCC